Molecule: ribosomal RNA, 458 nt
Filed under: uncultured bacterium
Lineage: Bacteria
Description: partial 16S ribosomal RNA
Rfam family: Bacterial small subunit ribosomal RNA
Source: RNAcentral
CCUACGGGUGGCAGCAGUGGGGAAUAUUGCACAAUGGGGGAAACCCUGAUGCAGCGACGCCGCGUGAGUGAAGAAGUAUUUCGGUACGUAAAGCUCUAUUAGCAGGGAAGAAAAACCGGCCUUAGGGCCGCCAGACGGUACCUGACUAAGAAGCCCCGGCGAACUACGCGCCAGCAGCCGCGGUAAUACGUAGGGUGCAAGCGUUUUCCGGUUUUACUGGGUGUAAAGGGAGCGUAGACGGCAGCGCAAGUCUGGAGUGAAAUGCCCGGGCCCAACCCGGGAACUGCGGUGGAAACUGUGGAGCUUGAGUGCAGGGGAGGGAAGCGGAAUUCGUGGUGUAGCGGUGAAAUGCGUAGAUAUUAGGAGGAACACCAGUGGCGAAGGCGGCUUACUGGACUGUAACUGACGUUGAGGCUCGAAAGCGUGGGGAGCGAACAGGAUUAGAUACCCCAGUAGUC